Long non-coding RNA from Sipha flava (yellow sugarcane aphid), 456 nucleotides. RefSeq lists it as uncharacterized. Lineage: Eukaryota; Metazoa; Arthropoda; Insecta; Hemiptera; Aphididae. The record is from RefSeq and is a predicted model, not a curated record. The transcript is spliced from 2 exons.
UUUUUGAAGGAAAUUAAUGAAAUUAAUAAAGAUGGUCAAAAUUUGAUAAUAAAUAAUGAACCAAAUGUUUACUAUUACCAAAUUGAUCCCCUAAAAUGUUUUCUGGUUUUUAAGCUCAAUUUUCAAUAUCUCUGGAUUGAAUUACAAAAAAAAUGUUUCCGAAAAAGUAACAGCGAAUAAUAAAUUUGGAAUCCAGUUCAGUAACGUGGUGGUACACGUGAACGCGUAGUUGAUAUGCCGAUCAUAAUUAAAACACGUAAUCGGUAUCGUGGAACUUCUACACCAGAUUACGUACGUACGUAGUAUUGACGAAACCGAUCCGAUGCGUACAAGAACGAAAACACGAAAAACAAAUUCUGCUGGAUCAUAAGUAGUAGUAUGUUUCCUAUUUACAUAUAAUUUUUAUGGGUUGUACUCGUGUUGUAUAAUAUUAAAUAUUAAUUUUGGUAAUGAUCA